ACCUCCUGAGCCAGAAGAUCCUGGGCAACCUCCAGCAGCUCCGCGGGCCCUUCCCAGGGUCCGGCCUGGGCGUGGCCUCCAGCUCGGAGCCCAUCAACCCCACCAGCAACCUGUCGACGGUGGCCGUGCUGCCCGUGUGCGACGAGGUGCCCAUGGCGGCCUUCACGCUGGAGCUGCAGCACGCGCUCAACGCCAUCGGCCCCACGCUGCUCCUCACCAGCGACAUCAUCCGCGCCCGCCUGGGUUCCUCGGCUCUGGAGAGCAUCCAGGAGUACCGGCUGUCGGGGUGGCUGGCGCAGCAGGAGGACCUGCACCGCAUCGUGCUGUACCAGACGGACUGCACGCUGACCCCCUGGACGC
Molecule: non-coding RNA, 360 nt
Organism: Cyanistes caeruleus (blue tit)
Lineage: Eukaryota; Metazoa; Chordata; Aves; Passeriformes; Paridae
Source: RefSeq, a predicted model, not a curated record